AUUGAACGCUGGCGGCAGGCCUAACACAUGCAAGUCGAGCGGAUGAAGGGAGCUUGCUCCUGGAUUCAGCGGCGGACGGGUGAGUAAUGCCUAGGAAUCUGCCUGGUAGUGGGGGAUAACGUCCGGAAACGGGCGCUAAUACCGCAUACGUCCUGAGGGAGAAAGUGGGGGAUCUUCGGACCUCACGCUAUCAGAUGAGCCUAGGUCGAUUAGCUAGUUGGUGGGGUAAAGGCCUACCAAGGCGACGAUCCGUAACUGGUCUGAGAGGAUGAUCAGUCACACUGGAACUGAGACACGGUCCAGACUCCUACGGGAGGCAGCAGUGGGGAAUAUUGGACAAUGGGCGAAAGCCUGAUCCAGCCAUGCCGCGUGUGUGAAGAAGGUCUUCGGAUUGUAAAGCACUUUAAGUUGGGAGGAAGGGCAGUAAGUUAAUACCUUGCUGUUUUGACGUUACCAACAGAAUAAGCACCGGCUAACUUCGUG
This 483-nucleotide ribosomal RNA is filed under the name uncultured bacterium. Its description in RNAcentral is "partial 16S ribosomal RNA". It matches the Rfam family "Bacterial small subunit ribosomal RNA", at positions 30 to 507 of the family's 1533-position model. The record is from RNAcentral.